CACGUAGGGGGCGAGCGUUGUCCGGAAUCAUUGGGCGUAAAGAGCUCGUAGGCGGCUCGGUAAGUCGGGUGUGAAACCCCCAGGCUCAACCUGGGGACGCCACCCGAUACUGCUGUGGCUAGAGUCCAGUAGGGGAGUGUGGAAUUCCCGGUGUAGCGGUGAAAUGCGUAGAUAUCGGGAGGAACGCCGGUGGCGAAAGCGACUGUCUGGGGUGCCUGUGACGCUGAGGCGCGAAAGCCAGGGGAUCAAACGGG
RNAcentral lists this ribosomal RNA (254 nucleotides) under uncultured bacterium. Its description in RNAcentral is "partial 16S ribosomal RNA". It matches the Rfam family "Bacterial small subunit ribosomal RNA", at positions 524 to 776 of the family's 1533-position model. The record is from RNAcentral.